UUGAUCAGGAUGAAGCUAAGUAAAUUAUCCAACACUUGAUCUGAGAUACUUUGAUAUCGACUGAUGUCACUUGAUUUGCUUCUGAAUCUUC
This is a small nucleolar RNA of Humulus lupulus (European hop), 91 nucleotides long. RefSeq annotates it as small nucleolar RNA snoR31. NCBI's taxonomy places the organism in Eukaryota, Viridiplantae, Streptophyta, Magnoliopsida, Rosales, Cannabaceae. The transcript has a single exon. The record is from RefSeq and is a predicted model, not a curated record.